UCAAGAACGAAAGUUGGGGGCUCGAAGACGAUUAGAUACCGUGUAGUCUCAACCAUAAACGAUGCCGACUCGGGAUUGGCGGGUGUUUAUUCGAUGACUCCGCCAGCACCGUAUGAGAAAUCAAAGUUUCUGGGUUCCGGGGGGAGUAUGGUCGCAAGGCUGAAACUUAAAGGAAUUGACGGAAGGGCACCACCAGGCGUGGAGCCUGCGGCUCAAUUUGACUCAACACGGGAAAACUUACCAGGUCCAGACGUAGGAAGGAUUGACAGAUUGAUAGCUCUUUCUUGAUUCUUAUGGGUGGUGGUGCAUGGCCGUUCUUAGUUGGUGGGUUGCCUUGUCAGGUUGAUUCCGGUAACGAACGAGACCUCAGCCUGCUAAAUAGUCACGGCUGCAUCCGCAGUUGGCAAACUUCUUAGAGGGACUGUUGGCGACUAGCCAACGGAAGUAUGAGGCAAUAACAGGUCUGUGAUGCCCUUAGAUGUUCUGGGCCGCACGCGCGCUACACUGAUACGUUCAACAAGUUCCUUGGCUCGAAAGGCCUGGGUAAUCUUUGAAACCGUAUCGUGAUGGGGAUAGAACAUUGCAAUUAUUGUUCUUCAACGAGGAAUGCCUAGUAACCGCGAGUCAUCAUCUCGCGUUGAUUACGUCCCUGCCCUUUGUACACACCGCCCGUCGCUCCUACCGAUUGGAUGUGCUGGUGAAGACUUCGGAUCGGCCACGCAACUAGGUUCUCCUGGUGGCGGAGUCGAGAAGUUGUUUAAACCCUCCCAUUUAGAGGAAGGAGAAGUCGUAACAAGGUUUCCCGUAGGUGAACCUGCGGAAGGAUCA
This 828-nucleotide ribosomal RNA is filed under the name uncultured eukaryote. Its description in RNAcentral is "SSU rRNA". It matches the Rfam family "Eukaryotic small subunit ribosomal RNA", at positions 977 to 1828 of the family's 1831-position model. The record is from RNAcentral.